GAACGCCGUAUGAAUUGAAAGGUUCACGUACGGUGUGAAGUGGGGGAAAAUGAAGUCCUAACGAGUAGGGUCGAGGAUGGAUUUACCUAUCACUAU
This 96-nucleotide non-coding RNA is filed under the name Ureibacillus xyleni. The record is from RNAcentral. Lineage: Bacteria; Bacillati; Bacillota; Bacilli; Caryophanales; Caryophanaceae.